GGGGCUGAUUCUGGAUUCGACAAGAUUCACGAAACCCAAGGUGCAUGCCGAGGUGCGGUAGGCCUCGUUAAUAAACCGCAAAAAAAUAGUCGCAAACGACGAAAACUACGCACUAGCAGCUUAAUAACCUGCAUAGAGCCCUUCUACCCUAGCUUGCCUGUGUCCUAGGGAAUCGGAAGGUCAUCCUUCACAGGAUCGUGUGGAAGUCCUGCUCGGGGCGGAAGCAUUAAAACCAAUCGAGCUAGUCAAUUCGUGGCGUGUCUCUCCGCAGCGGGUUGGCGAAUGUAAAGAGUGACUAAGCAUGUA
RNAcentral lists this transfer-messenger RNA (306 nucleotides) under Aeromonas veronii PhIn2. RNAcentral's name for it is "transfer-messenger RNA Aerom_veron_B565". It matches the Rfam family "transfer-messenger RNA", at positions 1 to 318 of the family's 374-position model. From Rfam's summary of the family: Bacterial tmRNA, also known as 10Sa RNA or SsrA, is named for its dual tRNA and mRNA-like properties. Lineage: Bacteria; Pseudomonadati; Pseudomonadota; Gammaproteobacteria; Aeromonadales; Aeromonadaceae. The record is from RNAcentral.